UUUAGAUCCACACCGUCGCCUCCACCCUGUUCCCAAUCCACUCUAGCACCGCCGCCCUGUUUGCCUUCGAUGGCCGGAGCUAGCGCCGCCAGAGCAGGAGGCAACUGCACGGGAGCUUCGCCAGGAGUAAGAUGAUUGAUGCCCGACGAUCGAAGAUCGCCGCCACCGCCACUUCACGGCUUCCUCCACCAGCAGUAGAACACACCGACCCCUUCCUUCACUACCACAAGAUCAACAUCAUCGUUCCUCUAGUGCUAGUAGAUUGACUGGAGCAGUUCGUCGGUGCCACUUUUUCCUCCAGCCGCGCGACAUCCGUGCCACUCCUUGCUCCAGCAGCAAGCAGGCCAAAAAUAAGACUCACUGGUGCUGCCUUCCCCGUUGUUUCCAGCUCCAGGGAAGGUAAUACUCACUGUGUCUCAAAAUAAGUGUCAUAAACGUAACACUAAAUUAGUACAUAUUUUGUACUGGACCAGCGACACUUAUUUUGGGACGGAGGGAGUAUCUGUAGAGUUGCACACACACGGGAGAUUCGUCUUCAGAGCCGUCAUUAGCAGCUGGUUCAGAUCAUCCCCAAAGGUUAGACCGGCCAAAAGUAUGAUUCAACUGCGCACACACUAGAGACUCAAUUCAAGGAAGCUAUGCUUCUUCUGUUGUAAUUAGCUUAGUAGAUGCUUUGGCUAGUACAUGCCUACAUGUUGCAAUUGUUCUAGUAUAAUACAUGAUGUUUGCUAGCAGCGUGGUACUUUAUUUUGGACUUUUGAUUGUGAGUUGUGAGAGAAUGAGAGAGCAAAGAACUAUGUGAUGAUUGAUGGUUGGUUGUGUGCUAGCAAAGUAGAAAAAACUAUGUUAUGUUUAAGUGAAGAUUGUUUGCAUUUUUA
Hordeum vulgare subsp. vulgare (domesticated barley) is the source of this 878-nucleotide long non-coding RNA. RefSeq lists it as uncharacterized. The record is from RefSeq and is a predicted model, not a curated record. The transcript is spliced from 2 exons. NCBI's taxonomy places the organism in Eukaryota, Viridiplantae, Streptophyta, Magnoliopsida, Poales, Poaceae.